This 336-nucleotide unclassified non-coding RNA is filed under the name soil metagenome. RNAcentral's name for it is "partial contains 5.8S ribosomal RNA, internal transcribed spacer 2, and large subunit ribosomal RNA". The stretch from base 1 to 120 matches the Rfam family "5.8S ribosomal RNA", at positions 35 to 154 of the family's 154-position model. The record is from RNAcentral.
GAUGAAGAACGCAGCGAAAUGCGAUAAGUAAUGUGAAUUGCAGAAUUCAGUGAAUCAUCGAAUCUUUGAACGCACAUUGCGCCCGCCAGUAUUCUGGCGGGCAUGCCUGUUCGAGCGUCAUUUCAACCAUCAAGCCCCCGGCUUGUGUUGGGGACCUGCGGCUGCCGCAGGCCCUGAAAAGCAGUGGCGGGCUCGCUGUCACACUGAGCGUAGUAGCAUACAUCUCGCUCUGGGCGUGCUGCGGGUUCCGGCCGUUAAACCACCUUCAUAACCCAAGGUUGACCUCGGAUCAGGUAGGAAGACCCGCUGAACUUAAGCAUAUCAAUAAGCGGAGGA